GGGAAAUGAAAUCACCUGGCCCCUGACUCAGUCCAUCUCCCAGGCUAACUGGGAGCUACUGGAUACAGGCAUCAGGAAGGUGAUGUGAAAGAUGCCGCAGGUGAAAGAGAAGAAGAACGCGGAGCACCUGAGCAGCUGUGGAGCCUCGGAUUCGUUGGAAGGCACAUUCUUGGAAGAAUAGCUCCUGUAAUGAGAUUGGGCACAUCCAGGCCAUCUUCUAUUUUACUGUCCGCAUAACACAAUCCAGGAAGUGAAAUCUCAGCAUGUUCACAGAUCCUAAGGACUCAACUAUGGAACCAUGGGGGCUGCCCAUAGAAACUCCACCUAUGCACAAGGGUGAUGUGCAUCAAGACUAAUUUUAUAGUAAUGAUAAGUCAUCACCUUUUUAUUAACACUAUGUUGCCACUUGCCCUUGGAAGCAGUCGCAGUGAAUUUGCCCAUCCCUUAGAAGCAAGAAUCAAGUUGGUAACACCAAACGAAACUCAAUGAAUUCUCCAUGGCCACAACCCAUGAUUCAAGAAAAUGCUAAAUGUCUUUGAUAAAGAGUCAAAAUGUAUCAAUUUAUUAAAUCUCAAUCCUUGCAUCCCAUCUUGUAAUACUGAAAAAUGAAAUGAGAAGUAUGCCUAAAGCAUUUGUCGCAAGGAAUUCUUCUCAACAAAUUCCUCUCAACUUCUUGCAAAUAGCCAACUCUUUGUGGAUAGUCAAGACUCAUCUUUUACAUUUUAUUCUGCAGAAAGCCUCCUGUGAUGGUUAAUAUUGAGUGUUAACUUGAUUCGGCUGAAAGUAUGCAAAGUAUUGUUCCUGGGUAUGUCUGUGAGGGUGCUGUCAAAAGAGAUUAACAUUUGAGUCAGUGGACUGAGAGAGGCAGACCCACCAUUAAUCUGGGUGGGCACCAUCCCCUUGGCUGCCAGCAUGGUUAGAAAAAGCAGACAGAAGAAAGUGGAAUGAGCAGACUUGCUGAGUCUUCUGGCCUUCAUCUUUCUCCUGUGCUGGAUGCUUCCUGACCUGGAACAUCAGACUCCAAGUUCUUCAGCUUCUGGACUCUCGGACUUACACCAGUGAUUUGCCAGGGCAUCUUGGGCUCUUGGGCCUUCAGCCACAGACAGAAGGCUGCACUGCCAGCUUCCCUACUUUUGAGGUUUUGGGACUCAGACUGGCUUCCUUGCUCCUCAGCUUGCAGAUGGCCUAUUGUGGAAUUUCACCUUAUGAUCGCAUGAGUCAAUUCUCCUUAAUAAAUUCCCCUUCAUAUAUACAUCUAUCCUAUUAGUUCUGUCCCUCUAGAGAACCCCGACUAAUACGCCUCACAUUCUUCUUUCCCCAAACAGCAAAAGGCAUUUCUCUUCUGUGUUUUUUUUAGCAUAUUAUUUAUAAGUUAAAUCAUAGUACUUACCAUAAUGUGCUUUAAUUAUUGCGUGUUUGAAGGUCUACUCCACAGGACUGAAAAGUAUCUGGUGGUCUGGCCUGAUUUGCUUCAGGUACAGGAAUUAGAACUUUUCUAUGUCUAUACCAUCAAUGUCUAGCACUGUCCUC
Molecule: long non-coding RNA, 1530 nt
Organism: Homo sapiens (human)
Lineage: Eukaryota; Metazoa; Chordata; Mammalia; Primates; Hominidae
Source: Ensembl